This 253-nucleotide ribosomal RNA is filed under the name uncultured bacterium. Its description in RNAcentral is "partial 16S ribosomal RNA". It matches the Rfam family "Bacterial small subunit ribosomal RNA", at positions 524 to 776 of the family's 1533-position model. The record is from RNAcentral.
UACGUAGGGGGCUAGCGUUGUCCGGAAUCAUUGGGCGUAAAGCGCGUGUAGGCGGCCCGGUAAGUCCGCUGUGAAAGUCGGGGGCUCAACCCUCGGAUGCCGGUGGAUACUGUCGGGCUCGAGUACGGAAGAGGCGAGUGGAAUUCCUGGUGUAGCGGUGAAAUGCGCAGAUAUCAGGAGGAACACCAAUUGCGAAGGCAGCUCGCUGGGACGUUACUGACGCUGAGACGCGAAAGCCAGGGGAGCAAACGGG